UGAGGCCCUGAGCUAGAAUUGCUUUACACGGUUCAGUAUUAUGAAGAUACAAAAUUGUUGAAAUCGUUCCUUGAAUUGUGACGUCACUAUAUGAUCUAGAUAUUCUUGCUAUGGAUACUUCAUUUUAUUGGUUCCGCAAAAGGAACCAAUCCAAAAGGAAGGUAACACGCUCCUUGGUCCAUACGCGCCAGGUGCUUUUGGUCCAUCAUCCGCCGCCUGCUAUAGGGUUGCGAGGCCACCAUUAGUACAUGGUUUAUACUCACCAGAUGCUUAUGGUCUUAUAGUAUUUUCAUUUGGCAUGGUUCCUUAACCAAAUUGGAGUCCUUACUCGGAUGAGUAUUUUUCAUAUCAUGGCAUGGUUGACAGUGCAAGAUCUUAGAAUGCCAUCUGAAGCUAUUGCAGAUUAUAAAACACCUGAAUUAUGUGAUAUUUUUGAAGCUUUCUUUUUCUCCUCAUCACACACUCAAGCAAUGAAGAUGUUCUGCGUAUAAUAUUUGCCUCACCAACAGCAACUAGAACAUCUGUACUUGAGUUGACCAGAAAAUUGACUAUUAAUGGUGAUUCAGUAAUUAACCACUCAUCCCCUACAUCUAGAUGUUUAAGCCAUGAUAAUUCAGAAGAACAAGACGAUUCAGGCUUAGUCGAUGCGCUUGCUGUUGCAAUAUCUAAUGUGAGGAUUUCCGAACCCAAAAGGAGCAGGCUAUGUGUGCCUACAAGUCCAAUUCGAGAGCAGCGUUCUUCUAAU
Helianthus annuus (common sunflower) is the source of this 745-nucleotide long non-coding RNA. RefSeq lists it as uncharacterized. The record is from RefSeq and is a predicted model, not a curated record. The transcript is spliced from 4 exons. Lineage: Eukaryota; Viridiplantae; Streptophyta; Magnoliopsida; Asterales; Asteraceae.